GCCCUCUUCACGACUGUCUUGGUGUGUUUGGACCAUUCUAGUUUGUUGUAGAUUGGACACCAAGGAACUUGAAGCUCUCAGCCUGCUCCACUACAGCCCCCGUCGAUGAGAAUGGGGGCGUGCUCGGUCCUCCUUUUCCUGUAGUCCACAAUCAUCUCCUUCGUCUUGGAUACGUUGAGGGAUAGGUUGUUAUUCUGGCACCACCCGGCAAGGUCUCUGACCUCCUCCCUAUAGGCUGUCUCGUCGUUGUCGGUGAUCAGGUUUACCACUGCUGUGUCGUCUGCAAACUUAAUGAUGGUGCUGGAGUCGUGCCUGGCCAUGCAGUCGUGGGUGAACAGGGAGUACAGGAGGGGACUGAGCACGCACCCCUGUGGAGCUCCAGUGCUGAGGAUCACAAGAGUUGGUUCAGGACUCCAAGGUUGGCAGACACAUGGUGGUCUGUGGUGUCUGGUCCCAUGUCAGCUUCUUGGCACAGAUAGAGUAUCUUCUCUUCCAGAAUGCUACGAUUUGAUAACCAUGAGUCAAGAUCUACAAGACGUGUGAGAGAAACUGGCGGCCAUAAGAGAGGUCUGGGUGAAGUGGGUGGAGCAUCUGCCAUAUCUCUACAACCCUGGGCCUGAAGUAACAGUGGAUGAGGCCAUACCUCUACAACCCUGGGCCUGAAGUAACAGUGGAUGAGGCCAUACCUCUACAACCCUGGGCCUGAAGUAACAGUGGAUGAGGCCAUACCUCUACAACCCUGGGCCUGAAGUAACAGUGGAUGAGGCCAUACCUCUACAACCCUGGGCCUGAAGUAACAGUAGAUGAGCAACUGGUUCCAUUCAGAGGAACAUUUUUAUUUUCACAUCUGUAAUGUCACUGUCUUUUCCGGCAGUAUGUGCCCAGCAAGCCAGAAAAGUAUGGCAUCAAGGUAUGGGUGGCCUGUGACUCACAAUCCAGCUACGCUUCGAAGAUGCAAGUCUACACAGGGAAGCCGACCAGUGGAGACCCGGAGAAGAACCAGGGGAUGCGGGUUGUGCUUGAUGUGACAGAUGGACUGAGGGGGCACAAUGUCACGUGUGACAAUUUCUUCACCUCUUAUGAACUCAGUCAGCAGCUCCUGAAGAGGAAGAUCACCAUGGUUGGUACAGUUAGAAAGAACAAGCCUGAGCUCCCCCCUGCACUCCUCGCAACAAGGGGGAGAGAGGUACACUGUACAAAAUGGCUGAGAUGAGUGAUCGUGAGGACAGGAAGCCAGCCAUCAUCCUGGACUACAACCACAGCAAAGGAGACGUGGCAACCUGAACAAGGUGAUUGGAACUUACAGCUGCAGGAGGAUGACUGUCCACUGGCCUCUGGUCAUCUUCCAUAACAUCAUUGAUGUGUCCUCAUACAAUGCCUUUGUGAUGGAACAAGAUCAACCCUACCUGGAUGCCUGAUAAGCAGAACAAGAGGAGGGUGUUCCUGGAGCAGUUGGGAAAGGCACUUGUAACCCCACACAUUCAAAGAAGGGAGCAUCUCCCCCUGCACAGCAGCCUUUGCAGCGCUUGUGAAAGCUGUUCAGGUGGCUGAAUCUUGUCCUGAUCCACCUGAGGCUGCAGUUGGGGCAGGCAAGAGGAGGAGAUUCCAAUUCUGCCCCCCAAAGAAGGACUGUAAAACAAAUACCAUGUGCUGCACAUGUGAGAAAAACAUCUGCAAAGUCCAUGCACACACACUUGCAUACUGUCCUACAUGUGCUAUUAGAGUUGAUUGAUUUAUGUUCUUCACAUUUUUGUUUGUAUUGCUGUUAUUUAUACACCUUGUGGGUGGGGGCAGUGGUUCAUAAAAUGGGAGAAGACUAUAAUGUACAGUAUAUAAGAAUAUAUCACUAUGUUGCCAAAAAAGUUCAAGACAGUUAUUGUUUCCCUGAAAUAAUAUGCAUUCAAAACUACUUUCUGCACAUUUCUGCUACUUUCUUAGACUAUACAAGUGCUAUCUCUUACUAAAAAAAAUUAUGUUUAUACCUAUG
RNAcentral lists this long non-coding RNA (1987 nucleotides) under Salmo salar (Atlantic salmon). RNAcentral describes it as "lncRNA (ENSSSAG00000101511.1, ENSSSAG00000109956.1)". The record is from RNAcentral. Lineage: Eukaryota; Metazoa; Chordata; Actinopteri; Salmoniformes; Salmonidae.